Molecule: long non-coding RNA, 1063 nt
Filed under: Bos taurus (domestic cattle)
Lineage: Eukaryota; Metazoa; Chordata; Mammalia; Artiodactyla; Bovidae
Description: long non-coding RNA NONBTAT006990
Source: RNAcentral
AGUUUGGAUAAAAAGGUAUAUAUAAUAUUAAUUCUCAUGGCUAGAAUAGGAAUUCAGACACUUAAAAGUUACCACUUUUAAGUAGUAAGAGAUUGUAGCAAUCUAGUUGCUGUGAGAUAACUGAUAAAAUAUGCAAUGAAAAAUACCAAGAAAGGAAGGACAAUCUCUGAUUCAGUUGCCCAGAACAGAAUUUUUAUAAACUGUGCAGAUAUUUAAUGUAAAUGGUGAUACCUGCAGAGCAGACAUAGAAGAGUUGAGAUGUAUCAGUGGGACAGAUUAAAUAGAAAACUUGAAUUUUUGGUGCCUAACACUAAUGGUCCAUUUGUAGGAUACCCCAUAUAUGAAUGUCUUUUUUUAUAUUAAAAUGUGUUGUCUAUUUAAUAAGUUAAUUAAAAUGCAGAUCAAAGCACCACCGUUUAUUUGCUUUUUCCAUAUACAGUUAACAUUUCCUUAAAGUGUGUAAGUAACUUUGCAAAUGUAAAAAAGUACUAGAUAUUUUCACUUGUUUUUAAGACCUAAUUCCAUUCCAUGAAUUGUCACUUAUCCACUGUUUUAAAAAAAAAAAAGUACUGUCUUGGUAAAAGGUCACUGUUACUUGGACUCAGUGUAUGCUGCCUACUUGCAGUCUUGUUACGGCAGUGUCUUUUACAAGUAGAGCUAGAGAAUGGGAUGUCACUUUUCAAUUAUAAGAAAUAGGGAUUCUUAUCCAAAAGUGUGUAUUAUAUGCUCUGUAUAGUUAACCAGAGUUCAAACAAGUGGUAAUGUUUCUCUUAAUUUAACUCAUUAUGUGCCUUCUUUGGACAUUAAAAAACACAUAUAUUAAAUGUAUUUUAAAUAUAAGUUAUUUCUUUGUGAACGCUAAUCGUCAGCCCUUACCAAAAAAAUAAAUUGACAGAGGCGCCUCUUUGCACUACUUACUAUCAAUAAACUUUAAAUUGGUUGUUUUUUGAAACAUUUUUUUUUAAAGCUUGCAUUAAAGUAAAUCUGAAACAAAUGUUUAAACAAACUAGCUAAGACACUAAUUUUUAUGUAUAAUCACAAUGUUUCACACCUAUCUUUAUUG